This 547-nucleotide ribosomal RNA is filed under the name uncultured Archaeosporales. Its description in RNAcentral is "SSU rRNA". It matches the Rfam family "Eukaryotic small subunit ribosomal RNA", at positions 548 to 1098 of the family's 1831-position model. The record is from RNAcentral. Lineage: Eukaryota; Fungi; Glomeromycota; Glomeromycetes; Archaeosporales.
UUGGAGGGCAAGUCUGGUGCCAGCAGCCGCGGUAAUUCCAGCUCCAAUAGCGUAAAUUAAAGUUGUUGCAGUUAAAAAGCUCGUAGUUGAAUUUUAGGCCUGGCCAGGCGGUCCGUCUUUGGCGAGUACUGUCUUGUUGUCGGGUCUUCCUUCUGGUGAACCAGUAUGUCCUUUAUUGGGUGUGUUGGGGAGCCAGGACCAUUACCUUGAAAAAAUUAGAGUGUUUAAAGCGGGCUAUUGCUUGAAUAGAUUAGCAUGGAAUAAUAGAAUAGGACGUUGUGGUUCUAUUUUGUUGGUUUCUAGGACCACCGUAAUGAUUAAUAGGGAUAGUUGGGGGCAUUAGUAUUCAAUUGUCAGAGGUGAAAUUCUUGGAUUCAUUGAAGACUAACUAUUGCGAAAGCAUUUGCCAAGGAUGUUUUCAUUAAUCAAGAACGAAAGUUAGGGGAUCGAAGACGAUCAGAUACCGUCGUAGUCUUAACCAUAAACUAUGCCGACUAGGAAUCGGGCGUUGUUAUUUUAAUGACUCGUUCGGCGCCUUACGGGAAAC